UAACACAUGCAAGUCGAACGAGAAAGCCCUUCGGGGUGAGUACAGUGGCGGACGGGUGAGUAACGCGUAGGAAUCUACCCAGUAGCGGGGGAUAACUUGGGGAAACUCAAGCUAAUACCGCAUACGCUCUACGGAGGAAAGAGGGCCUCUAUUUAUAAGCUCUCACUAUUGGAGGAGCCUGCGUUGGAUUAGCUAGUUGGUGGGGUAAAGGCUCACCAAGGCGACGAUCCAUAGCUGGUCUGAGAGGACGAUCAGCCACACCGGAACUGAGACACGGUCCGGACUCCUACGGGAGGCAGCAGUGGGGAAUCUUGGGCAAUGGGCGCAAGCCUGACCCAGCCAUGCCGCGUGUGUGAAGAAGGCCUUCGGGUUGUAAAGCACUUUCAGUGGCGAAGAAAAGCCUGGAGCUAAUACCUUCGGGUCUUGCGUAACC
This 433-nucleotide ribosomal RNA is filed under the name uncultured bacterium. RNAcentral's name for it is "bacterial SSU rRNA". It matches the Rfam family "Bacterial small subunit ribosomal RNA", at positions 49 to 479 of the family's 1533-position model. The record is from RNAcentral.